UAAGGAAUAUUGGUCAAUGGACGCAAGUCUGAACCAGCCAUGCCGCGUGCAGGAUGACGGCCCUAUGGGUUGUAAACUGCUUUUGUCAGGGAAUAAAUCGCGUUACGUGUAAUGCGUUGAAGGUACCUGAAGAAUAAGGAUCGGCUAACUCCGUGCCAGCAGCCGCGGUAAUACGGAGGAUCCAAGCGUUAUCCGGAUUUAUUGGGUUUAAAGGGUGCGUAGGCGGCGAAUUAAGUCAGAGGUGAAAGCCUGCAGCUCAACUGUAGAACUGCCUUUGAUACUGGUUCGCUUGAGUACAGAUGAAGUGGGCGGAAUGUGACAAGUAGCGGUGAAAUGCAUAGAUAUGUCACAGAACACCGAUUGCGAAGGCAGCUCACUAAAGUGUAACUGACGCUGAGGCACGAAAGCGUGGGGAUCAAACAGGAUUAGAUACCCUGGUAGUCCACGCCCUAAACGAUGAUUACUCGCUGUCGGCGAUAUACAGUCGGCGGCUAAGCGAAAGCGUUAAGUAAUCCACCUGGGGAGUACGGUCGCAAGAUUGA
RNAcentral lists this ribosomal RNA (542 nucleotides) under uncultured Solitalea sp. Its description in RNAcentral is "bacterial SSU rRNA". It matches the Rfam family "Bacterial small subunit ribosomal RNA", at positions 355 to 897 of the family's 1533-position model. The record is from RNAcentral. Lineage: Bacteria; Pseudomonadati; Bacteroidota; Sphingobacteriia; Sphingobacteriales; Sphingobacteriaceae.